Molecule: long non-coding RNA, 815 nt
Filed under: Homo sapiens (human)
Lineage: Eukaryota; Metazoa; Chordata; Mammalia; Primates; Hominidae
Description: HSALNT0140500
Source: RNAcentral
UAGAGGGCAGCAGAGGGUCAGGUGUCUCUGCAGGUGGCUGGGGAGGUGUAGGACACCACCCAGGGAGGGGCUUGCAGCCUAGGGUGGCAGUGACAAAGAAGAGCCAAGGACACAGUCAAAACACAAGCCUCAGGGGCCAGUUGUGGAAAUAUCACUCCCCUCAAGGGAAAUGAUAGAAUCCGAAACAAGAGCACCUGAGCCCAGAGAAGCCAGAAUGGUGUUGGAACGCAGAGAGGAUGAGAGCCGGAGUGAGGACCAGGCUGGAGCUGCAUAAUACUGUGAUAAGCAAAGGGCCAUCACCAGCAUACUGAAAAAUAAGAAAGAAAUCCAAGAAAGACACCACCUCUAAACAUUACUGCCAGGAAGCCGCCUUACAAAUGACAACCAUUUCAGUGACAAGAUAAAGUCUGUUGGAGGAGACAGUGCCUCCAUAACAGCAGGCUGGAUGUGCCCCUCCACCCCCUACAUCUAAUGGCAUCACAUGGUGGAUGGGAUGGUAAACAAGGCCAAGGGAGAGUGAAGCAGACAGCUCUGACUCUCAUCUCUUGGCAGAAAAACCUGCAUCAGAUGUUUAGCUAAUGUUUCUGUUUAGCUUUUCAGGGACAUCUAGUAUCUAUACACAGAACCUCAGAGGUACUGGCCAGUUAAGUUAAUGCAAUAAGAAAAUAAAAGUCAUCACUCUCAGGAGAAAAGUAACCAAAGCAAUUCUGUGAUAUACCAUUAAGGAAACAACCAUUUUUACGUUUUUAAGAAUUCUUCCAACCAGUUGUUUAGAUAUCAGCUUUAGCAAGGAGUUAUCAGAAUAUAUAGCAUCU